This 385-nucleotide ribosomal RNA is filed under the name uncultured bacterium. Its description in RNAcentral is "bacterial SSU rRNA". It matches the Rfam family "Bacterial small subunit ribosomal RNA", at positions 28 to 415 of the family's 1533-position model. The record is from RNAcentral.
GACGAACGCUGGCGGCGUGCUUAACGCAUGCAAGUCGAGCGGUAAGGCCCUUUCAGGGGUACACGAGCGGCGAACGGGUGAGUAACACGUGGGUGACCUGCCCUCAGCUCUGGGAUAAGCCUGGGAAACUGGGUCUAAUACUGGAUAUGACUCCACGGUGCAUGUCGUGGGGUGGAAAGCCUUGUGCGGCUGAGGAUGGGCCCGCGGCCUAUCAGCUUGNGGUGGGGUGAUGGCCUACCAAGGCGACGACGGGUAGCCGGCCUGAGAGGGCGACCGGCCACACUGGGACUGAGACACGGCCCAGACUCCUACGGGAGGCAGCAGUGGGGAAUCUUGCGCAAUGGGCGAAAGCCUGACGCAGCGACGCCGCGUGAGGGAUGACGGC